This 495-nucleotide ribosomal RNA is filed under the name uncultured bacterium. RNAcentral's name for it is "partial 16S ribosomal RNA". It matches the Rfam family "Bacterial small subunit ribosomal RNA", at positions 28 to 505 of the family's 1533-position model. The record is from RNAcentral.
GAUGAACGCUGGCGGCGUGCCUAAUACAUGCAAGUCGAGCGAACAGAUGAGGAGCUUGCUCCUCUGACGUUAGCGGCGGACGGGUGAGUAACACGUGGAUAACCUACCUAUAAGACUGGGAUAACUUCGGGAAACCGGAGCUAAUACCGGAUAAUAUAUUGAACCGCAUGGUUCAAUAGUGAAAGACGGUUUUGCUGUCACUUAUAGAUGGAUCCGCGCCGCAUUAGCUAGUUGGUAAGGUAACGGCUUACCAAGGCAACGAUGCGUAGCCGACCUGAGAGGGUGGGCGGCCACAGUGGGAGAGAGACCGGGUCCAAGCUCCUACGGGGGGCCGGAGUGGGGAAUUCUCCGAAAGGGGGGAAAGGCAGAAGGGACAAACGCGGGGGAGGAAAUAAGGUUUUCGGAUCAAAAAACUUUUUUAAUGGGGGAAAAAAAAUGUUAAAGGAAAUGUGCGUCUUGACGCGGGCACAAAACAAAAAGCCGCGGGUUACCACG